This 253-nucleotide ribosomal RNA is filed under the name uncultured bacterium. RNAcentral's name for it is "partial 16S ribosomal RNA". It matches the Rfam family "Bacterial small subunit ribosomal RNA", at positions 524 to 776 of the family's 1533-position model. The record is from RNAcentral.
UACGUAGGGUGCGAGCGUAAAUCGGAAUUACUGGGCGUAAAGCGUGCGCAGGCGGCGCGUUAAGACAGGUGUGAAAGCCCCGAGCUUAACUUGGGAAUUGCGCUUGUGACUGGCGUGCUGGAGUGUGGCAGAGGGAGGUGGAAUUCCACGUGUAGCAGUGAAAUGCGUAGAGAUGUGGAGGAACACCGAUGGCGAAGGCAGCCUCCUGGGCCAGCACUGACGCUCAUGCACGAAAGCGUGGGGAGCAAACGGG